Molecule: ribosomal RNA, 375 nt
Filed under: uncultured bacterium
Lineage: Bacteria
Description: bacterial SSU rRNA
Rfam family: Bacterial small subunit ribosomal RNA
Source: RNAcentral
AACGAACGCUGGCGGCAGGCCUAACACAUGCAAGUCGAACGCCGUAGCAAUACGGAGUGGCAGACGGGUGAGUAACGCGUGGGAACAUACCCCUCGGUUCGGAAUAACUCAGGGAAACUUGAGCUAAUACCGGAUACGUCCGAGGUCUUAAUCGGCCUUGGAGAAAGAUUUAUCGCCGGAGGAUUGGCCCGCGUCUGAUUAGCUUGUUGGUGAGGUAAUGGCUCACCAAGGCGACGAUCAGUAGCUGGUCUGAGAGGAUGAUCAGCCACAUUGGGACUGAGACACGGCCCAAACUCCUACGGGAGGCAGCAGUGGGGAAUAUUGGACAAUGGGCGAAAGCCUGAUCCAGCCAUGCCGCGUGAGUGAUGAAGGCCU